Suncus etruscus (white-toothed pygmy shrew) is the source of this 246-nucleotide long non-coding RNA. RefSeq lists it as uncharacterized. The transcript has 3 exons. The record is from RefSeq and is a predicted model, not a curated record. Lineage: Eukaryota; Metazoa; Chordata; Mammalia; Eulipotyphla; Soricidae.
GGAGACUUCAAAACAAGAUCACAGGUUGCUGUGUCUACAACUUCCAAUACUAUGUUCAAUAAUAGCAGAGAAAUGGGACAUCUUUGCCUUGUGCCUGCUCUGAGAGAAGAGGAUUUCAGUUCUUCAUUGUGUUUUAUGAUAAUAGCAUUGGGCUCAUUGUAUACAGUCUUAGCUAUAUUGAGAAACCAGAAAAUGAAGACUAAGCUACGAAAACUUUCAACCAAGAAAACUUCCCCAGAAAACAUA